CAGCCGCCGCGGUAAUACGAAGGGUGCAAGCGUUAAUCGGAAUUACUGGGCGUAAAGCGUGCGUAGGCGGUGAGUUAAGUCUGCUGUGAAAUCCCCGGGCUCAACCUGGGAAUGGCAGUGGAUACUGGCUCGCUAGAGUGUGUCAGAGGAUGGUGGAAUUCCCGGUGUAGCGGCGAAAUGCGUAGAGACCGGGAGGAACAUCAGUGGCGAAGGCGGCCAUCUGGGACAACACUGACGCUGAGGCACGAAAGCGUGGGGAGCAAACAGGAUUAGAUACCCGAGUAGUCCCUGUCUCUUAUAC
Molecule: ribosomal RNA, 301 nt
Filed under: uncultured bacterium
Lineage: Bacteria
Description: partial 16S ribosomal RNA
Rfam family: Bacterial small subunit ribosomal RNA
Source: RNAcentral